UGCAAGUCGAACGAUGAAGCCCAGCUUGCUGGGUGGAUUAGUGGCGAACGGGUGAGUAACACGUGAGUAACCUGCCCUUGACUCUGGGAUAAGCGUUGGAAACGACGUCUAAUACCGGAUACGAGCUUCCACCGCAUGGUGAGUUGCUGGAAAGAAUUUUGGUCAAGGAUGGACUCGCRGCCUAUCAGCUUGUUGGUGAGGUAAUGGCUCACCAAGGCGACGACGGGUAGCCGGCCUGAGAGGGUGACCGGCCACACUGGGACUGAGACWMGGCCCAGACUCCUACGGGAGGCAGCAGUGGGGAAUAUUGCACAAUGGGCGAAAGCCUGAUGCAGCAACGCCGCGUGAGGGACGACGGCCUUCGGGUUGUAAACCUCUUUUAGCAGGGAAGAAGCGAAAGUGACGGUACCUGCAGAAAAAGCACCGGCUAACUACGUGCCAGCAGCCGCGGUAAUACGUAGGGUGCAAGCGUUGUCCGGAAUUAUUGGGCGUAAAGAGCUCGUAGGCGGUUUGUCGCGUCUGCUGUGAAAUCCCGAGGCUCAACCUCGGGUCUGCAGUGGGUACGGGCAGACUAGAGUGCGGUAGGGGAGAUUGGAAUUCCUGGUGUAGCGGUGGAAUGCGCAGAUAUCAGGAGGAACACCGAUGGCGAAGGCAGAUCUCUGGGCCGCUACUGACGCUGAGGAGCGAAAGGGUGGGGAGCAAACAGGCUUAGAUACCCUGGUAGUCCACCCCGUAAACGUUGGGCGCUAGAUGUGGGGACCAUUCCACGGUUUCCGUGUCGUAGCUAACGCAUUAAGCGCCCCGCCUGGGGAGUACGGCCGCAAGGCUAAAACUCAAAGGAAUUGACGGGGGCCCGCACAAGCGGCGGAGCAUGCGGAUUAAUUCGAUGCAACGCGAAGAACCUUACCAAGGCUUGACAUAUACGAGAACGGGCCAGAAAUGGUCAACUCUUUGGACACUCGUAAACAGGUGGUGCAUGGUUGUCGUCAGCUCGUGUCGUGAGAUGUUGGGUUAAGUCCCGCAACGAGCGCAACCCUCGUUCUAUGUUGCCAGCACGUAAUGGUGGGAACUCAUGGGAUACUGCCGGGGUCAACUCGGAGGAAGGUGGGGACGACGUCAAAUCAUCAUGCCCCUUAUGUCUUGGGCUUCACGCAUGCUACAAUGGCCAGUACAAAGGGCUGCAAUACCGUAAGGUGGAGCGAAUCCCAAAAAGCUGGUCCCAGUUCGGAUUGAGGUCUGYAACUCGACCUCAUGAAGUCGGAGUCGCUAGUAAUCGCAGAUCAGCAACGCUGCGGUGAAUACGUUCCYGGGCCUUGUACACACCGCCCGUCAAGUCAUGAAAGUCGGUAACACCCGAAGCCAGUGGCCUAACCGCAAGGAUGGAGCUGUCUAAGGUGGGAUCGGUAAUUAGGACUAAGUC
Molecule: ribosomal RNA, 1420 nt
Filed under: Plantibacter sp.
Lineage: Bacteria; Bacillati; Actinomycetota; Actinomycetes; Micrococcales; Microbacteriaceae
Description: bacterial SSU rRNA
Source: RNAcentral